This 254-nucleotide ribosomal RNA is filed under the name uncultured bacterium. RNAcentral's name for it is "partial 16S ribosomal RNA". It matches the Rfam family "Bacterial small subunit ribosomal RNA", at positions 524 to 776 of the family's 1533-position model. The record is from RNAcentral.
CACGUAGGCACCAAGCGUUGUCCGGAUUUAUUGGGCGUAAAGAGCUCGUAGGCGGUUCGGUAAGUCGGGUGUGAAAACUUUGGGCUCAACCCAAAGCGUGCACUCGAUACUGCCAUGACUAGAGUUCGGUAGGGGAGUGGGGAAUUCCUAGUGUAGCGGUGAAAUGCGCAGAUAUUAGGAGGAACACCAACGGCGAAGGCAGCUCGCUGGGACGGAACUGACGCUAAGGCGCGAAAGCGUGGGGAGCGAACAGG